GCCCUUUCACUCUGACACAGCUCUCAUCACAAUGGCAGAAGCCAAAGCUAUUUUUGUGAGGCAGAAGGACAGGUGUGGCAGGAAAAAAAAGGAUUUUCCACUAGGGAGACGCAAAGCAGAGGAAGGCAUCUCCAUUCCCCAUGAGGUGUAUACAGUUGAGAUACAAGAACAUCAUUCUGGCUCUGAAGAAGCAAAUGCAAGAUGGAUUCCAAUAGACAGCCUGGAGGAGAAGCUUUCCCACUGCAGACAGAGCUUGGAAGAGGUGGAUUUUAAACUACGGAGAGAAGAACUGACUCCUGAGGGAAGAAACUCGCUGGAGAAAGAGAAAAACCUGCUAGCAAGCAAAGCUGAAAGCUAUGGAACACCGGGAAGAAUUCCGACAGUAGAAUUAUCCCAUGUUAUCUUCACAACACCCAUGUGAUGUUAGGCUGAGCACCUCCACUCUGGAGAGCAACCCAACUGGCCAGUCCUGCAGAGAACAUGUAGCAGCUCUUCUGAAUGACUAGCAGAACAGCACACUUCUGUCUGUCAGAUGCCACAGCCAGCAGGCAACAUAAACUGCCACAUAGCACUCCCUGUUCAGCAAGGGAAUUGAGAAAGAACUGAAAGUGCUUCGUCAUGAAAAUCGCAAGAAUGCAGCCCUAUCAGUAGCCCUUGUGCUGUUGGUGGUGGUUAUUUACACCUGCUGGACAAUGUAAGAGCUUUUGCCAGGAUCUCCUAAUGAUGGUGCAAUCAGCUUUCCAAGCCAGUGUGCACUUGGACACCUCCAAUCAUCAUCAUGAUCUAGGCAAUCUUCGACGACACUGAAGGAAAAUUAACUGAGUACAAGCGGUUUGGUUUUACCCUCCCAUUUAUUCUGUGGGGAGCAAUCGUAACAUCUUGAUUUUCCCUGCCAUUGAGACCACCUGUGUGCAAUCAACUCAAGAUGUUGCAGCAUCUCAGGCAUUUUGAAGACAAAAUCCUCUUCUCCUGAAAACAAGGCUGAUCUCCCAGUAUCCUGAUUCCUCAAGCAGGAAGCUCACGCUCUCUAGUCUUCCUCUUUACCCACCUCCCCAAACCCCUGCACCUUUCCUCGCUGCUUUGUUUCCUUAUGAGGCUGCUCAUGAGCCUAGGUGAUACUCGGGCCUGAAGCACCACUAGCAACAUGGCAGAUAACCCCUCUGGAAGAUUCUCAAGAAUCAAGUGUUGGUUUAUAUACUCUCAUAAGGGGAUGCAUCAGAAUAGUCCACUACCUACAAGUCAGCAUGUUUCAUGGUAAAUUAAGAUGAUGGAUAUGUAUACUAGUAGGCACAGACGCCAGACAUACUGCCAUGACUGAAAAGAUGGACAUACCUGUAGAAGCUAAGGAUGUCAGUAUUGACACAGUGUGUGGGGCUUGCAGUGGGGACUAUCUAAACUUGCAUGGAUGGGAGAAGAUUUGUAACUUCUUAAUAAAGGGCCUUUUGAACAUA
This is an RNA transcript of Hemicordylus capensis (graceful crag lizard), 1451 nucleotides long. It is a transcript of the gene named coiled-coil domain containing 167, with no coding region annotated. The transcript is spliced from 5 exons. NCBI's taxonomy places the organism in Eukaryota, Metazoa, Chordata, Lepidosauria, Squamata, Cordylidae. The record is from RefSeq and is a predicted model, not a curated record.